UUUAAACAUUUAAACAUUUCAACAUUUAAACAUUUAAACAUUUAAACAUUUAAACAUUUAAACAUUUAAACAUUUAAACAUUUAAACAUUUAAACAUUUAAACAUUUAAACAUUUAAACAUUUAAACAUUUAAACAUUUAAACAUUUAAACAUUUAAACAUUUAAACAUUUAAACAUUUAAACAUUUAAACAUUUAAACAUUUAAACAUUCCAAUAUCAAUUAACAAACCCAACUUUACACUGAACCUGUUCAGCCGACGCUCAUGCAACGAACGCACCGUUACACCAAGUUACACUGGACCCGUGCGACGCUCCUGAAACGAACGCACCAUGGUUCGAGCGAGCUGUCACUUUUUUUACUCGCGCGUGUCUGAUCCUGUUCGUGGUGACGGUGUUUGUUGAAGUUUUAGGGGAAACCCGGAUUUUUCGCGUUGAGGCGGUCGUUUAAGCCAAUUGGCCACAUCCGGCGAUUGGCAAUCAAGUUGCCGAACGCGAUCCUAGUGUUGGUUGGACGGAUGUUCGAAGUUCGAAUUGGAGCGGCUCCGGGAUGGCGGAACUUUGGGUGAGUAUUUUGAGUUUCGUGAGGGUGGAGGGGAAUUCCAAACAAAACAGCAGCGGCACUAUCUAUUGCCUGCUUGGGCAGAUUGCUUAAUCACAGUGUUUGUUUUUUUUUUUACUUUACAAGGACUUCUUCCACACGUUUCCGGCAGAAAAAAUCUGCCGAGUCACCGAUCCGGAAAAGCAAAUUUGAAAUUGUCAACCAUUUUGGGUGAGUAUUUCAGCUGUGGUGGAAUUUUGCUUGGAAAACUUUCUUCUGAUUUGUUGUGGGAGGGGAGAGCCACGGUGCGAAAUCUCCGCAGCAGCAGCAGACAUCUUUCGUGGCCUACUGCAGCAACAUUUGAUCUAAACAAACUGUUUCUCUUUUCACAGGGACUUCUCCCACCGGGUUCGCUAACGGGACACAACCCAACGGAUGCGUUCGAUUGGGAGCGGACCCGGCGCCUGCUGCGGUCACUUUCGGCCGUGUUUGUUCCGGAUGGUGAGCUCGUCUCGCCUGGAGGCUAAAAUCGUUAGGGGCUAAUUUCACUAAGGAUUGUGCUUCUAGAUUACGCGAAUGUCUAUCCCAAUUACGAAGCAGUUGAUCCGGCACCGGCUACGGACAUUCCGAAUAAUUUCAAACAGUGCGGAUUGAAGCGGAAUAACAAAAGAAAACGACACGGAAAAAAGUGCUAAAUUAAGUGAAAUUAAAGAAAACGAUAAAAAUACAAUAAAACUUACCGUAUUGACCAUUAAUUUCAAUGUAUAAAUAUAUGUUUUACAGUACAAUUUAGUGGCGAGAAAAAAAUAAAUACAAUGAAAAUACAA
Culex pipiens pallens (northern house mosquito) is the source of this 1365-nucleotide long non-coding RNA. RefSeq lists it as uncharacterized. The transcript has 2 exons. NCBI's taxonomy places the organism in Eukaryota, Metazoa, Arthropoda, Insecta, Diptera, Culicidae. The record is from RefSeq and is a predicted model, not a curated record.